UGGGCCUGCUCGGUGAUUAAUAUUUAACAGCUGCGGUAUUAUAACUGUACUAAGGUAGCAUAAUAAUUUGCUCUAUAAAUUAGGGCUAGAAUGAAUGGUUUGACGAGAAUUAAACUGUCUCUACUUUAUUUGUUAGAAAUUAAUUUUUAUAGUGAAAAAGCUUGGAUGGUUUAAAGGGACGAAAAGACCCUAUUGAGCUUGUGUUAAUAAAUAAAUAUUANNNUAUAUAUAUNNNNNNNAUAUAUAUAUAUAAUANNNNNUUUGUUAGUUUUAAUUUGGUUGGGGUGAUCAAGGAAUAAAAU
Molecule: ribosomal RNA, 302 nt
Filed under: Octopus sp. octo91
Lineage: Eukaryota; Metazoa; Mollusca; Cephalopoda; Octopoda; Octopodidae
Description: partial 16S ribosomal RNA
Source: RNAcentral